This 67-nucleotide microRNA precursor is filed under the name Propithecus coquereli (Coquerel's sifaka). Its description in RNAcentral is "miRNA (ENSPCOG00000011485.1)". The record is from RNAcentral. Lineage: Eukaryota; Metazoa; Chordata; Mammalia; Primates; Indriidae.
AGGCUGCAGUGAGCUAUGAUCGUGCCACUGCACUCCAGCCUGAGUGACAGAGCAAGACCCUGUCUCA